RNAcentral lists this ribosomal RNA (497 nucleotides) under uncultured bacterium. RNAcentral's name for it is "partial 16S ribosomal RNA". It matches the Rfam family "Bacterial small subunit ribosomal RNA", at positions 28 to 507 of the family's 1533-position model. The record is from RNAcentral.
GACGAACGCUGGCGGCGUGCCUAAUACAUGCAAGUUGAGCGCUGAAGGUUGGUACUUGUACCAACUGGAUGAGCAGCGAACGGGUGAGUAACGCGUGGGGAAUCUGCCUUUGAGCGGGGGACAACAUUUGGAAACGAAUGCUAAUACCGCAUAAAAACUUUAAACACAAGUUUUAAGUUUGAAAGAUGCAAUUGCAUCACUCAAAGAUGAUCCCGCGUUGUAUUAGCUAGUUGGUGAGGUAAAGGCUCACCAAGGCGAUGAUACAUAGCCGACCUGAGAGGGGGAUCGGCCAAAAUGGGAACGAGACACGGCCCCAACCCCUACGGGAGGCAGCAGUAGGGAAUCUUCGGCAAUGGACGAAAGUCUGACCGGGCAACGCCGCGUGAGUGAAGAAGGUUUUCGGAUCGUAAAACCCUGUUGGUAGAGAAGAACGGUGGUGAGAGUGGAAAGCUCAUCAAGUGACGGUAACUACCCAGAAAGGGACGGCUAACUACGUG